This 449-nucleotide ribosomal RNA is filed under the name uncultured bacterium. RNAcentral describes it as "bacterial SSU rRNA". It matches the Rfam family "Bacterial small subunit ribosomal RNA", at positions 958 to 1398 of the family's 1533-position model. The record is from RNAcentral.
AACGCGAAGAACCUUACCUGGGCUUGACAUGCUUGGAUUAUCUCCAUGAAAGUGGAGUAGGCCCCGCAAGGGAAACAACAAGUACAGGUGCUGCAUGGCUGUCGUCAGCUCGUGUCGUGAGAUGUCGGGUUAAGUCCCUUAACGAGCGAAACCUUUGCCCUUAGUUACCAUCGGGUUAAGCCGGGGACUCUAAGGGGACUGCCGGUGUCAAACCGGAGGAAGGUGGAGAUGACGUCAAGUCCUCAUGGCCUUUAUGCCCAGGGCUACACACGUGCUACAAUGGGGUGCACAGAGCGAACCUAGAGCGCAAGCUGGAGGAAAUCGCAGAAAUCACCCCCCAGUUCAGAUUGGAGGCUGCAACUCGCCUCCAUGAAGUUGGAAUCGCUAGUAAUCGCGGAUCAGCUACGCCGCGGUGAAUGUGUUCCCGGGCCUUGUACACACCGCUAGUC